This 460-nucleotide ribosomal RNA is filed under the name uncultured bacterium. Its description in RNAcentral is "partial 16S ribosomal RNA". It matches the Rfam family "Bacterial small subunit ribosomal RNA", at positions 338 to 795 of the family's 1533-position model. The record is from RNAcentral.
CCUACGGGAGGCAGCAGUGAGGAAUAUUGGUCAAUGGACGAGAGUCUGAACCAGCCAAGUAGCGUGAAGGAUGACUGCCCUAUGGGUUGUAAACUUCUUUUUUAUGGGAAUAAAACAGGGUAUGCAUACCCUCUUGUAUGUACCAUAUGAAUAAGGAUCGGCUAACUCCGUGCCAGCAGCCGCGGUAAUACGGAGGAUCCGAGCGUUAUCCGGAUUUAUUGGGUUUAAAGGGAGCGUAGGUGGAUUGUUAAGUCAGUUGUGAAAGUUUGCGGCUCAACCGUAAAAUUGCAGUUGAAACUGGCAGUCGUGAGUACAGUAGAGGUGGGCGGAAUUCGUGGUGUAGCGGUGAAAUGCUUAGAGAUCACGAAGAACUCCGAUUGCGAAGGCAGCUCACUGGACUGCAACUGACACUGAUGCUCGAAAGUGUGGGUAUCAAACAGGAUUAGAUACCCCUGUAGUC